UGCUGAAGAGGUAUAUUGAGCCCUGCCUGGUUAACCUCCAGUGAGGUUAUUAGAGAAUUGGGAGAGGCUCAAAUCAGCAUCCUGCACCUAGUUAUCAAACCAUUGUGAAGUCUUGAUUCCUGGAUGGCCAGAAAACUUGUCAUUGGUCAAGAGCAACAUUAAGAUCUGCCUGUUACUCAUACUGAUGCUUCCUGCCCAGCAAGUUCAUCAGAGGGCGAGGAUGAAUUACGGUUGCCAUGAAUGUCCUUGUGAGGCAGUUGGGAAGCCUUGGCUGGAUUGUGAAGGAUAUUUGAAAAGUAUUUUAGAGUCCACCAGAUCAUCCAUGUGAGUGACCAUGCAGCAAAAGAAGGAGGGUCCUCUCAGUGAUUAAGGAGGAGCUGGUAGAAGACUUAAUGUGAGGGAGAAGAAAAGGAAAGAAGUAGCGGGGGAUGACUACAACCUCUCUUCAUCUCAGCUUCACAAAGCAUCAUUCAACAAAUGGAUCACUAUUAAGAUCCUCUCCAGAUCACAGAACAGUGGUUGGUAGGAUGGCGGAGACAUGGACUUCAGAGAGUUCUUGGUAGAAGACUCAAAGAGCCACCUGUCAUGAGACAUCCCACUUCCUUCCCCAGGUUACUUCCAAGACUGAGCAGCCAGGUUUUUGGUAGAUGAGAACAAAUGUUUCUUCCUGAAGCCCUGGGGCUUCAGGUAGGAAGAAGGACUGCUAUACUUGUUCUCACCCUUGGCUUCUGGCUGCUCCAGUUAAACAUGGUUCCCAUUGAUACAGACAUUAGAGUGGGAAAGGACUUCGUUCAUAGACCGAAGACCCUCAAAGGAAAGUCCUUCCAUUUUGGGAAGGGUGACAUUGAUUUCGUUUAGCUGCUUAAGAUAUGUACUUGCUGUUGUCUUGUGAGACAUGACAUCUGAAGCUGAAGAGGAGUCCCUCUCAUUGUUGUCAUUGUCCCACCGGGACUGAAAGUCUCCCAGUUGAGGCAGCAUUUUAGCUUUGAUGUCUACAGGGCAAUCAUGGAUCAGGAAAUUUCUGCAAAUUAGACUUGGAAAACAAGGUCUUGAUCCUUCUUGUCUUUGGACGAAGACUAAUCAUCACUUUUGACUGAAGGUGUAGUGCUGGAGACUAUGUUGGAGGCAGCACCUGAUGCACUAUCCAUAUUCUUCCCCUUGAUCUUGUCUUAAAGUUUUCCAAAUGGAUUCCGAGGCUUGUCUUUGAUGAAAAGGUCAAACAUACUGGCAGUCAUGUUGUUUCUCAUAAGCUGGAUGUCAACCUCAAUUUCUCCUCUUUAUCCUUCUCUCCUGGUUUGGAUUUCAAGGUAUACCACCGCAUCUUCCUGCUCCCCUAGUCUGGGUGCAGGUCCUGCAGGUACACCUCGGCGAAGCCCAAGUACAGUAGCAGCAGCACCUCAAAGGUGGCCUCCUCCUCUGACACUGAGGUGGCAUACUUCUCCUUACCCACCUGAAUCACCGAGUACAUGUUGCUUGUACCGUCAGGCUCUUGGUUCUUGGCCCCUGGCCCUAUGCCUGCAACACUGUCACCUGCACGUGGAUUGGGAACCACAUAGCCCCCGGACCUGCUAAGGCCAUUAAGGACAGGAUGGUGAUGCCUCGGCUGACUGACGUGAGAAGAUUGUCAUGACCCAUGGCCUCUACUGCUGUCCUACCAACAGAAACUUCAUAAUGUUGUGCAGGCGUUACCACUACCUAGUUCCAGAACAUUGCCAUCACCCCCAAAAUAAAUCUUGCAUUCAUUAAGCAGUCACCCCUAUUUUCCCCC
This is a long non-coding RNA of Homo sapiens (human), 1768 nucleotides long. Ensembl annotates it as FTX transcript, XIST regulator. Its record names the gene FTX. NCBI's taxonomy places the organism in Eukaryota, Metazoa, Chordata, Mammalia, Primates, Hominidae. The record is from Ensembl.